CUAUACAUGCAGUCGAGCGGACAGAUGGGAGCUUGCUCCCUGAUGUUAGCGGCGGACGGGUGAGUAACACGUGGGUAACCUGCCUGUAAGACUGGGAUAACUCCGGGAAACCGGGGCUAAUACCGGAUGCUUGUUUGAACCGCAUGGUUCAGACAUAAAAGGUGGCUUCGGCUACCACUUACAGAUGGACCCGCGGCGCAUUAGCUAGUUGGUGAGGUAACGGCUCACCAAGGCAACGAUGCGUAGCCGACCUGAGAGGGUGAUCGGCCACACUGGGACUGAGACACGGCCCAGACUCCUACGGGAGGCAGCAGUAGGGAAUCUUCCGCAAUGGACGAAAGUCUGACGGAGCAACGCCGCGUGAGUGAUGAAGGUUUUCGGAUCGUAAAGCUCUGUUGUUAGGGAAGAACAAGUGCCGUUCAAAUAGGGCGGCACCUUGACGGUACCUAACCAGAAAGCCACGGCUAACUACGUGCCAGCAGCCGCGGUAAUACGUAGGUGGCAAGCGUUGUCCGGAAUUAUUGGGCGUAAAGGGCUCGCAGGCGGUUUCUUAAGUCUGAUGUGAAAGCCCCCGGCUCAACCGGGGAGGGUCAUUGGAAACUGGGGAACUUGAGUGCAGAAGAGGAGAGUGGAAUUCCACGUGUAGCGGUGAAAUGCGUAGAGAUGUGGAGGAACACCAGUGGCGAAGGCGACUCUCUGGUCUGUAACUGACGCUGAGGAGCGAAAGCGUGGGGAGCGAACAGGAUUAGAUACCCUGGUAGUCCACGCCGUAAACGAUGAGUGCUAAGUGUUAGGGGGGUUUCCGCCCCUUAGUGCUGCAGCUAACGCAUUAAGCACUCCGCCUGGGGAGUACGGUCGCAAGACUGAAACUCAAAGGAAUUGACGGGGGGCCCGCACAAGCGGUGGAGCAUGUGGUUUAAUUUCGAAGCAACGCGAAGAACCUUACCAGGUCUUGGACAUCCUCUGACAUCCUAGAGAUAGGACGUCCCCUUUCGGGGGCAGAGUGACAGGUGGUGCAUGGGUUGUCGUCAGCUCGUGUCGUGAGAUGUUGGGUUUAGUCCCGCAACGGAGCGCAACCCUUGA
RNAcentral lists this ribosomal RNA (1083 nucleotides) under Bacillus amyloliquefaciens. RNAcentral describes it as "bacterial SSU rRNA". It matches the Rfam family "Bacterial small subunit ribosomal RNA", at positions 49 to 1108 of the family's 1533-position model. The record is from RNAcentral. Lineage: Bacteria; Bacillati; Bacillota; Bacilli; Caryophanales; Bacillaceae.